This 513-nucleotide ribosomal RNA is filed under the name uncultured bacterium. RNAcentral's name for it is "bacterial SSU rRNA". It matches the Rfam family "Bacterial small subunit ribosomal RNA", at positions 8 to 521 of the family's 1533-position model. The record is from RNAcentral.
AGAGUUUGAUCCUGGCUCAGGAUGAACGCUGGCGGCGUGCCUAACACAUGCAAGUCGAGCGAAGCGAUCGAGAUGAAGUUUUCGGAUGGAUUCCUGAUUGACUGAGCGGCGGACGGGUGAGUAACGCGUGGGUAACCUGCCUCAUACAGGGGGAUAACAGUUAGAAAUGACUGCUAAUACCGCAUAAGCGCACAGUACCACAUGGUACGGUGUGAAAAACUCCGGUGGUAUGAGAUGGACCCGCGUCUGAUUAGCUAGUUGGUGAGGUAACGGCUCACCAAGGCGACGAUCAGUAGCCGACCUGAGAGGGUGAUCGGCCACAUUGGGACUGAGACACGGCCCAAACUCCUACGGGAGGCAGCAGUGGGGAAUAUUGCACAAUGGGGGAAACCCUGAUGCAGCAACGCCGCGUGAGUGAAGAAGUAUUUCGGUAUGUAAAGCUCUAUCAGCAGGGAAGAAAAUGACGGUACCUGACUAAGAAGCCCCGGCUAACUACGUGCCAGCAGCCGCGGU